GUGUUCGCUUUGGCAUCACAUAUACAAGAACUGGAAUGAUACAGAGAAAAUUAGCAAUGCCCCUCACAAGGAUGACGAACAAACUCAUGAAGCAUUCCAUAUUUUU
RNAcentral lists this small nuclear RNA (106 nucleotides) under Dasypus novemcinctus (nine-banded armadillo). Lineage: Eukaryota; Metazoa; Chordata; Mammalia; Cingulata; Dasypodidae. The record is from RNAcentral.